UGGGGAAUUUUGGACAAUGGGCGAAAGCCUGAUCCAGCAAUGCCGCGUGUGUGAAGAAGGCCUUCGGGUUGUAAAGCACUUUUGUCCGGAAAGAAAUCCUCUGGGUUAAUACCUCGGGGGGAUGACGGUACCGGAAGAAUAAGCACCGGCUAACUACGUGCCAGCAGCCGCGGUAAUACGUAGGGUGCAAGCGUUAGUCGGAAUUACUGGGCGUAAAGCGUGCGCAGGCGGUUUUGUAAGACGGAUGUGAAAUCCCCGGGCUUAACCUGGGAACUGCAUUCGUGACUGCAAGGCUAGAGUAUGGCAGAGGGGGGUAGAAUUCCACGUGUAGCAGUGAAAUGCGUAGAGAUGUGGAGGAAUACCGAUGGCGAAGGCAGCCCCCUGGGCCAAUACUGACGCUCAUGCACGAAAGCGUGGGGAGCAAACAGGAUUAGAUACCCUGGUAGUCCACGCCCUAAACGAUGUCAACUAGUUGUUGGGGAUUCAUUUCCUUAGUAACGUAGCUAACGCGUGAAGUUGACCGCCU
RNAcentral lists this ribosomal RNA (526 nucleotides) under uncultured bacterium. RNAcentral's name for it is "partial 16S ribosomal RNA". It matches the Rfam family "Bacterial small subunit ribosomal RNA", at positions 355 to 874 of the family's 1533-position model. The record is from RNAcentral.